GUGAGGAAACACACCCAGUGAGGCCAAUUUCUCAAAAUCACAAAGUUAACAAGUAACAGAGCCAGGGAGGAAGGGGCCCCUGAGGGUGAAGGAAAGAACAGCAAGGGUAACGCGUAUACACAUGCAGAGAGAGAGAGAGCGCACGUGCGAAUGGUGCAUCUGGAUAAAAG
Molecule: long non-coding RNA, 170 nt
Organism: Herpailurus yagouaroundi (jaguarundi)
Lineage: Eukaryota; Metazoa; Chordata; Mammalia; Carnivora; Felidae
Exons: 2
Source: RefSeq, a predicted model, not a curated record